This is a long non-coding RNA of Motacilla alba alba, 1343 nucleotides long. RefSeq lists it as uncharacterized. The transcript has 3 exons. The record is from RefSeq and is a predicted model, not a curated record. NCBI's taxonomy places the organism in Eukaryota, Metazoa, Chordata, Aves, Passeriformes, Motacillidae.
GGUUUCCACUUUCUUUUUAAAAUGCAAGGCUAAAAGUUUCUGCCUUUUUCUCCACAUGCCCUUCAGGACUACCAGUCUUGGAAUCUCCUGCAGGUUUUUUUCUCCCUCCUGUUGCCUUCUUCCCUCUAUACCCUGUGUUGCCUCACAACUCCGAGCUACUCUGCCCCUUGAACUUAUUAUUUUGCCACAUCCCAGUCAGUCCUGACCUCUUGAAGAGCAGAACAUGAUAUUUGUGCUCUGUUUUUGAUGUUGGUCACUGCUACAGCCAAAGAGACAUGUCAUGCACAGCUGUGGUUGGUGAAGAACUUGUGCACAUGCUGGUGUUUUGGAGUAGCAAACAGGCAAGGGAAUUGCAGCUGGUGCUUUGAUUGACAUGGCUAAACAGAGGAAAAGAAUGGUGAAACAUAUCUCAGAUGAACACAGGUCAUAGGACAGCAAGCUGUAUGAAUAGAAAUGAGUGGAACAAGCAAUACCUGUCCAUGGCAGGAUUCCAAGGUGGGAUGUGAGAGCUACUGAGAUGCGAGAAGUCAGAAAAACACAUUGGCUGUGUGAAUAGACUGAAAGACUAUCCCUUAGGAUGCAGUCUGGACCACAUGGCAGAAAGGCAUGUUAGCUUUUGGUCAAUCUGAUAUAAAUCAAGUUGUGAAUGAACUUGCCUAUUCUUCUGCUAUGAAAUCCACUAUUUAAAUUGAACAUGGAUGUUUGGAUCCAGGUCCAUGAUCUGACAUGGCAGGGCUGCAGGAUCUCUGACAUGCAGCAUUGUCUUCUCUUCACUGACUGCUCACUGUCCAAGUCACUUGGGCUUGCUCUUUCCAGCUUGCCAGUGAAUUGUUGCACUGUCUCCUGCAUCAAACACAGCCUGUGAACAUACUGUGGGAAGCCAGAUGCCUUGAGGUUACUUCCUUCCUGCCCUGGGAUAUGUGUCAGCUUCACAUGGUAUACUUUAACAUCUUGAACACCUGGGAGUAUUAAAAUCUGAGAUAAAUUUAAGAUUAAAUUAGCAUCAAGACUAUUCAUAUAUAUGUAUAUGUAUGUGCAUGUCUGAGUAUUUGUAAAUAUAUGCAUACAUGUUGAUGAGUGUAACAAUGUAUUACAUAUUAAAAUAACUUUUACAUAUUGAAAUAGAUUUUAAAGAUAUUCUUAUCUUGGUAUUCAUGAAACCCAUUAGGCUCUUUUGACAUUAUUUCUUUAUUAUCCUCACUCCCAAGUUGCUUUUAAAUGCAACCUAUUUUCUCUCUAUACUGCUAUUUAGCUGAUUUAUUAUAACUCAUCUUCUUUUCCUUGGAAGUUGCUGAUCAAGGGCUAAAGCACUAAAGAAGGUGAAGGUAAGAAUGUCUCCCCAA